This 1383-nucleotide ribosomal RNA is filed under the name Salmonella enterica. RNAcentral describes it as "partial 23S ribosomal RNA". It matches the Rfam family "Bacterial large subunit ribosomal RNA", at positions 1292 to 2658 of the family's 2925-position model. Lineage: Bacteria; Pseudomonadati; Pseudomonadota; Gammaproteobacteria; Enterobacterales; Enterobacteriaceae. The record is from RNAcentral. RNAcentral also lists the same sequence under 1 other name.
GAAUGCUGACAUAAGUAACGAUAAAGCGGGUGAAAAGCCCGCUCGCCGGAAGACCAAGGGUUCCUGUCCAACGUUAAUCGGGGCAGGGUGAGUCGACCCCUAAGGCGAGGCCGAAAGGCGUAGUCGAUGGGAAACGGGUUAAUAUUCCCGUACUUGGUGUUACUGCGAAGGGGGGACGGAGAAGGCUAUGUUGGCCGGGCGACGGUUGUCCCGGUUUAAGCGUGUAGGUGUGUGUUCCAGGUAAAUCCGGUUCACUUUAACACUGAGGCGUGACGACGAGGCACUACGGUGCUGAAGCAACAAAUGCCCUGCUUCCAGGAAAAGCCUCUAAGCAUCAGGUAACAUCAAAUCGUACCCCAAACCGACACAGGUGGUCAGGUAGAGAAUACCAAGGCGCUUGAGAGAACUCGGGUGAAGGAACUAGGCAAAAUGGUGCCGUAACUUCGGGAGAAGGCACGCUGACACGUAGGUGAAGUGAUUUACUCAUGGAGCUGAAGUCAGUCGAAGAUACCAGCUGGCUGCAACUGUUUAUUAAAAACACAGCACUGUGCAAACACGAAAGUGGACGUAUACGGUGUGACGCCUGCCCGGUGCCGGAAGGUUAAUUGAUGGGGUCAGCGCAAGCGAAGCUCCUGAUCGAAGCCCCGGUAAACGGCGGCCGUAACUAUAACGGUCCUAAGGUAGCGAAAUUCCUUGUCGGGUAAGUUCCGACCUGCACGAAUGGCGUAAUGAUGGCCAGGCUGUCUCCACCCGAGACUCAGUGAAAUUGAACUCGCUGUGAAGAUGCAGUGUACCCGCGGCAAGACGGAAAGACCCCGUGAACCUUUACUAUAGCUUGACACUGAACAUUGAGCCUUGAUGUGUAGGAUAGGUGGGAGGCUUUGAAGUGUGGACGCCAGUCUGCAUGGAGCCGACCUUGAAAUACCACCCUUUAAUGUUUGAUGUUCUAACGUGGACCCGUUACCCGGGUUGCGGACAGUGUCUGGUGGGUAGUUUGACUGGGGCGGUCUCCUCCUAAAGAGUAACGGAGGAGCACGAAGGUUGGCUAAUCCUGGUCGGACAUCAGGAGGUUAGUGCAAUGGCAUAAGCCAGCUUGACUGCGAGCGUGACGGCGCGAGCAGGUGCGAAAGCAGGUCAUAGUGAUCCGGUGGUUCUGAAUGGAAGGGCCAUCGCUCAACGGAUAAAAGGUACUCCGGGGAUAACAGGCUGAUACCGCCCAAGAGUUCAUAUCGACGGCGGUGUUUGGCACCUCGAUGUCGGCUCAUCACAUCCUGGGGCUGAAGUAGGUCCCAAGGGUAUGGCUGUUCGCCAUUUAAAGUGGUACGCGAGCUGGGUUUAGAACGUCGUGAGACAGUUCGGUCCCUAUCUGCCGUGGGCGCUGGA